GGUCAGGCCUACCUGCAGGCAAAAGAAAAACUGCAGGACUGGCAAGUUAGUGAGUUGUGCUGUACAGUGUUCUGCUCCCACACCUGCCCUCUCCUCCCUCUUGUUCCGGGAAGCACCGCAUAGAGCCUCCUGGGUGAGAGAGCUGCUGUGCCCAGCGAGGCUUUGACGUCGUUGCCAAUCCUAACUCGAGCCUUCUUUUCUGUUCUUAUCAAAGGUUCUUCAGAAGACUUGAAAUUCUGUGUGCUGUACCUGGCAGAGAAGGCAGAGUGCUUAUUCACUUUGGAGGCUCACUCGCAGGAGCAGAAGAAGAGAGUGUGCUGGUGCCUGUCGGAGAACAUCGCCAAGCAGCAACAGCUGGCUGCAACACCUACGGAG
Molecule: long non-coding RNA, 375 nt
Filed under: Rattus norvegicus (Norway rat)
Lineage: Eukaryota; Metazoa; Chordata; Mammalia; Rodentia; Muridae
Description: long non-coding RNA NONRATT022317
Source: RNAcentral